RNAcentral lists this non-coding RNA (29 nucleotides) under Mus musculus (house mouse). Lineage: Eukaryota; Metazoa; Chordata; Mammalia; Rodentia; Muridae. The record is from RNAcentral.
UAUUAUUUACUCAGAUGCUGGCCUAGGUU